CGCGAAAGGCCCCUUCGGGGGCCGAGUAGAGUGGCGCACGGGUGAGUAACACGUAGGUAAUCUACCUCUGGGCGGGGAAUAACGACCGGAAACGGUCGCUAAUACCGCAUAAUGCAGCGGCACCACAUGGUGACAGUUGUUAAAGCGGGGGAUCGUAAGACCUCGCGCCUAGAGAUGAGCCUGCGGCGGAUUAGCUAGUUGGCAGGGUAACGGCCUACCAAGGCGACGAUCCGUAGCCGGCCUGAGAGGGCGGACGGCCACACUGGCACUGACAUACGGGCCAGACUCCUACGGGAGGCAGCAGUCGGGAAUUUUGGGCAAUGGGCGAAAGCCUGACCCAGCAACGCCGCGUGAAGGAUGAAGCUUUUCGGAGUGUAAACUUCAUAAGAAUGGGACGAAUAAGGAGGGGUUAACACCCCCUUUGAUGACGGUACCAUUUGUAAGCUCCGGCUAACUCCGUGCCAGCAGCCGCGGUAAUACGGGGGGAGCAAGCGUUGUUCGGAUUUACUGGGCGUAAAGGGCGCGUAGGCGGCGCAACAAGUCACUUGUGAAAUCUCCGGGCUUAACCCGGAGCGGCCAAGUGAUACUGUCGUGCUAGAGUGCGGAAGGGGCUACUGGAAUUCUCGGUGUAGCGGUGAAAUGCGUAGAUAUCGAGAGGAACACCUGCGGCGAAGGCGGGUAGCUGGGCCGACACUGACGCUGAGGCGCGAAAGCCAGGGGAGCGAACGGGAUUAGAUACCCCGGUAGUCCUGGCCUUA
RNAcentral lists this ribosomal RNA (758 nucleotides) under uncultured bacterium. RNAcentral's name for it is "bacterial SSU rRNA". It matches the Rfam family "Bacterial small subunit ribosomal RNA", at positions 67 to 804 of the family's 1533-position model. The record is from RNAcentral.